Molecule: ribosomal RNA, 119 nt
Filed under: Pteropus alecto (black flying fox)
Lineage: Eukaryota; Metazoa; Chordata; Mammalia; Chiroptera; Pteropodidae
Source: RNAcentral
GUCUAUGGCCAUGCCACCCUGAACAAGCCCAAUCUCGUCUGAUCUUGGAAGCUAAGCAGAGUGAAGCCUGGUUAGUACUUGGAUGGGAGACCACCUAGGAAGAACAGAUGCUGUAGGCA